Long non-coding RNA from Brienomyrus brachyistius, 8585 nucleotides. RefSeq lists it as uncharacterized. The transcript has 4 exons. NCBI's taxonomy places the organism in Eukaryota, Metazoa, Chordata, Actinopteri, Osteoglossiformes, Mormyridae. The record is from RefSeq and is a predicted model, not a curated record.
GAUGCGUGCUGCUAUGGCAAUAUACGCUUAGUCUCAAACCUGCUCCGAGCAAUUUUUGACCUUGGUUAAGUAGAGGUUUCUGCGUAAGCCAGCCCUAUACGUGCACCACGCCUCCAACUACAAUUUCUCCGAAGAUAAAACGGGGGUAUAUGGAUGAUCCGUACGACUUUAGCGCGCUAAUCGUGAGGGACUCAAUAUGUAUGAAAUAUGUAUAAUAUGCAUGCAAUAUAUUAAUUAAUAACUUAGAGAGAAUGCUAUAUAGAGAAAGUUGAAAACCCAAAGGGUGUGCAUUGUUCCCCGUUGUCCACUGAUCAAAGCACACUUCUCUAGAUGUGCCUGUCUUGUCUAGUUUUAAAGUUAUUAAACCAUUCAUGUAUUGUUCCAUUGCACAUUAUACGGAUACAUUCGAACAUUCUAAAAUUAAUUAAAAUUCGUACGUAAAGCAAUCUGGGAAACGGGGUAUCCAACAGUCGCCAUGAGCUAAUGCUAAACCUCCAUGUCAAUGUCAUUACAGCUGAAAUUCUAUUAUAUUCGCUAUUAACACGAUUUGGCACAGAUCACGAAAUCGCAAAAAUAAUCGGUGUGCAUCGUUGUCUGUGUACUGGAUAUCACAAUUCUGUCAUGACAAACGCCCCAUCUUACUUCCUGUAGAAUUUAUUAAAAACAGAAAACUGAAUAUCGAACAUUAUCUCGAGACAGGUGUUUUGAAUCAUGAAGACCGUUAGGAGAUAAAGCGGCAGCGAAAGCUAAUUUUAAUAAAAAUUAUUGAUCAUCCCUUGAUAGCCCAAUUUAAAGACACCCCCUAUAAGUAAAAUGUUACGUUAAUAUACAUGUUUAACCGAAUUAAUAGCAGGAAUUACAUCUUUGUUGCUGUUUUUCCUCUGCCACAGUGGUUUGCCAUCUACUUUAGCCGUGUGCUUGUCCACAUCUACUGAACUCCAAGGGGGAUCAAAGAAUCACUGAUGACCUGAGUGAAAUGAGGUUUUUUGUCUCAGGACUUUUUGUCUACCACAGGAUGACAUACAUAGAACGUCUCAAACAACCUCAACCGGCUACACCAAAAAUGUACCCAGUGACCAGCCAGACUGCCCAGGAGUGUUUGAAACAACCAGCAAGAGCAUGACACACUGAAAAGUCUUUGUUCGCCGAUUAUCUCACUCAUUCUACUGUGAUAGCUCAAAAUGUGGUGGCGGCAAGUAAGCUGCUGAGCAAGCUGGCAGGUAAAUCGUGCACAGUCUACGGAAGAGGGAACCAGUCGUGCUGCCUGUAGCACUGCACGGGACGCUGCCUUUGGAUCAAAUCAACAGUUGGAUGUCCAGUCAGUAUUUGACAGGUUUCUUCAGACCCACCUGGUGACCCUGGAUGUGGACAUGCCAGGCAAGAGUGCCCGUUCACAGACAUCAGGCCAGUUUCAGUGACAGCUAUACGAGUUUGGUUGAAGGCCCAGAUGAAACUCUAUGUGUAGCGUGUCCUCUGUGAGAAUUGUUAUUUAGACGUCGACCGAUAUGGGUUUUUCAAUACCUGAUGCCGAAAUUUAGGAGUCAGGGUCAGGUGAUGCCCGGUAUAUGCUGCUGAUUUUUUAUGCCCGAUAAUUGGACGUUUUCCCCCUCUAUCUGCAUCGUAAUAUAUCACGCUAAUAAUAACAAACCAUACAAAAAAAGUCUCAACUUAGCAUUUAUUGAAUACUAAAACAAUAAUAAAAAUAGCAGGAUCAGAAUCUUUAAGUACACAAUAUAGCGGCAAACUCCUCGUUUUUGAGGAAAGGAACAUUUGUAAACUACAAAAAAAGGAAUGUGUAUGUUAUCCUCAGUUUUAUUCCCACUUCCAGUCCCUGAGUCUUCCUUGCCCCACCCAUCCCUCACAGCCAUCAGAUAGCAAAUACUAAAGCAAAAGAAUUGCAAGGUUAGCAUUUUUAUUAUAGUGCCUUCACCUCUAAUUCAUUCUACAAUUCCAGUAUUCCAUGCACAUUAAAACAAUUACACUCUUAAUACAUUUUGAAAAAAAAAACACUAGUAUUUAAGUGCAUCAUGGUAUGAUGAGUAGUGUACAAGGCCCAAAACCUUUCACUAACAUGUUGUUUAUGUUGUUAGCAAACAGAUAUCUUACAAGCUAAAUUCGCAAUUAGAACCUAGCGAUCGCAUAAAAUAAAAUACCUUUGGCGUAUUACACAGCCUUGUAUGCAAGGACAACGUAAACCCUUAGUGAUUGUGACGUUGUCGACUGAUAAGCCAGUAUAAAGCAUAGAUAUGAUUAAUGAGGAAACUAACUGCGCAUAGUCGUGCACUUUUCAUAGAGACGUCUGACAUAUUGUUACGAUCUCCGCUCUCAAAUGCAAACAAGUUGCACAGAAAGACCAUCGUCAGCAUCAGCUCAAGUGAAUGGUAACCACGCUUUUGAACAAACCGUUUUCUCUGCCAUGCAUUGUUUUUAUCAGCUCUGUGUCUCCUAGGACGGUGCUGUCUGUGAUCGGGGCAGAGUAACACAACUCUCACACAUGCUACAGUGUUUCAGAGCUGCCUGCUCCACCCCGCACACACAGAGUGAAACUGUCCGACACAAGAAAAAAAACAGAAUUGAUAACAUCGGGCUGAUAUGGUAAUAGCUAAAAUUUUAACAAAAUGAUUUUUAACGAUUAAAAAACGUCUGUGAGCCCACCAACAAGCACACCAAACUAACUCUGUCAGAAUCAAUGAUCCUUAACGAGGGCUCAGUGUCAUUACGCCAGUUCCCGACAGCAUAAUUCGCGUUCUCUUUUAAAGCAACAUUUCAUAGCAAACCAGUUAAAUAGGUCUUUGAAAGAUUAGAAUUUAAGCCUUACCAUUUAUUCCCAGCACUCUUCCAAAACUUCUGGCUGGGGUCCUGCACAAGGCAGCAUGGGUCAUGUGUUCUACAGCGACAGUAAUACUGGGCUGCCCGCAGACGUGCCUGUCUGUAAAUCGGUGUACUACACUCGAAUAUGGCAGAUGCCGAUACAUAAAAAAAAAGCCAAAUAUCGGUCAACCUGUAUUGUUAACACUAAUUAAUGUCAUAUUUACUGAGAAACAAUCUGUACAUGAUUAACAUAAUCUGUUUAACUGACAUAAUUUAAUUUGUUCUUGAUAGCACACUUUGAAAGACAGGAACCCUUUGGAUGAUCAUCUCAGAGUGACAUUUUCUGCAGCAAGGAUUAACUGUACGCUUGCUUGAACUUCAAUUCAGUUCGGUUCUUUAAUCAAAAAGUUUUUGUCGGUCUCGACCUGGAGCCGUGGUAGAGACUGUCAGUGUCGUUGCUAAGAUAGAAUCUGCAUACUUUCUAUUUUGUUUUAAUCCUACCAGCAAACCAGUAGUCAGAAUGUUUUCCCGCGUCGCAAGAUCAGCUGCAAGCAUCACUCAUAGCUUGCGCACCUCUUCCCAGAACCAUGCCAAGGUAGCAGGUGCGUCCGGGGGCAUCGGCCAGCCCCUGAAGAAGAGUCCCCUGGUUAGCCAGCUCUCUCUUUAUGAUAUUGUCCACAUCCUAUUGGUGUUGCUGCUGAUCUAAGUCACAUAGAGACCAGGGUCCAGGUCACUGACUACGUCGGCCCAUUGGAUCCGAGCAACUGGAUGCAGCUCUGACGAGGUGAACAGUAUUGGGCCACGUACUGUGUUAUGUGCAAAACUAUCAGAUGUAUUUCUUCCGUGAUCAGACUCAUCACCAUUCCUUUCCACUCAGAAUGUGGAAAUAGCCAACGGAUAAUAUGAACGCCCACAAAGGUAGCAGCAGAUUCUUCUGCUUUCUUCUGUUCAUCUGCUUAAUAAGCGUGAGAACCGCAUAGUAACCUGUAGGUACAAAAGCUAGUUUGAUGAUGCUAACAUAGCCUGUUUGCUGUGUUAUAAGAACUUGCUAUAUUAUAAGAUCCAUCCAUCCAUUUUCCAAACCGCGUAUCCUACUGGGUCGCGGGGGGUCCGGAGCCUAUCCUGGAAGCAAUGGGCACGAGGCAGGGAUAUUAUAAGAUCCCCCGACAUAAAGUUGCUGACUUGAAGCUAAGGAGCUAAGAAAAACAAUAUGGCCAAAGAAAAAUAGUUCGUAAGAGUUUAUUUACAGUACAUUACAGGACAGUAAAAGUUUACCACAGUCACAUCCUGCUCGUUCCCGUCAGUCCGGGAAUACGUAUAAAGUACAAAAGGAGUCCAGCAAACAGUUUGUGAAGAAAGGACUUUUAGUGCGCCUCCCCUUGACCUGCUGUGUUUGUUGCAAAGUCCUCCCCUUUCCUGAUGGAGGCCUUCAGCUCAUCCAACGCUUCCACCACCAGUUUGGUCUCCAAGGCGGAGAGCUUGCCAAGGCCCAGAUUCCUCUUCACUCCGUGUCUGCCGAGGAGGAGAGGGGUGGAAAAGUAUGUGCAUUCGCCUUCCUCUGACCUGACGAAUGCACAUUCGAUGACCCCUUCUUUGCCAUUCAUGGCAUCCAGCAAGGACAAGGCGAACCUAGCCCCUGCAUAUGCCAUGGAGAGGGUGGCAGAGCCUGCCCCAGCCUUCGCCUUCACCACCUCAGUGCCUGCGUCUUGGAUACGCCCGUGAGGUUAGCCAGGGCAUCCGCACUGAACUCCACUUUGGGAGUGCACCGAGAUAAGACGGGAAUUAUCGUCUUGCCCGCAUGGCUACCAGCUACGGGAACAUUGACGUGAGCAGGAUUCAGUCCCGUGAGUUCGGCCACGAAGGUGUUAGCCCUGAGGAUGUCUAGAGUCACACCAAAGACCCGCUUAGGGUUGUAACCUCCAUGCUUCUUAAGAAUCUCUGAAGCUAUGGGAACAGUGGAGUUUACUGGGUUGGUGAUUAGACAAAUCAUAGCUUCAGGGCAGUUGCGGGCACAGGCAUCAGCCAGGGUGGCCACGAUGGAGGGGUUGGUAUCAAAGAGGUCAUCCCGUGUUAUCCCGGGCUUCCUGGGCACUCCAGCAGGAAUGAGGACAGCUUCACUCCCCUUCAGAGCUUGCGGGAGUUGCUCUGGGCCGACGUAGCCAGUGAUCUGGGCCCUGGUCUGGAUGUGGCUACUGCUACUUCCACAACAAACAAUUCAGAAAACUCCGGAAAUAAUAAGUAUGCAUGUACUGUAUAUGUUACCCAUCACCACGAAAUGAGUCUUAAGUCGCACUGGUAGAAAUACACCCAUAAGACUCAUUUCGUGGUGAUUAGUCACAUAUAGAGUAGACAGACGUAGCAGUCAUAAGUUAUAUACAUCCUGUUUUAUUUUCUUUUACAAGUACAGACAUCUGAACUUUCAGUGUCCAUUUUCAAAGUAUUAAUGGUUCACCUUAUAUUUCACAUUCAGAAAAAUUCUUACGCAUUACUCUUUGGCAAAUAGUAACACCAGCACAGAGGAUGUUCAUAGCUUUGAACCCAUGACAAAACAGAAGUCUAGCGAUGAGUGUUUAACAUCUCCAACCUGAAGAAAAAUGUUUUUUUUUGGUACAUUUUAAAUGUUAGCAGUAUCUUUUAAAAGAGUUUAAAAACAUCCAAAGCCAGGGGAAUUCUUCAUCCAAAAGAGGCAGCAUUAAAGUGUUGGCGCACUCGCAAAGUCCUCCCCCUUCUUAAUGGAGGCCUUCAGCUCAUCCAGUGCUUCGGCCACCAGCUUGGUCUCCAAGGCGGAGAGCUUGCCAAGGCCCAGGUUUCUUUCCACUCCGUGUCUGCCGAGGAGGAGAGGGGUGGAAAAGUAUGUGCAUUCGCCUUCCUCUGACCUGACGAAUGCACAUUCGAUGACCCCUUCUUUGCCAUUCAUGGCAUCCAGCAGGGACACGGCGAACCUAGCCCCUGCAUAUGCCAUGGAGAGGGUGGCAGAGCCUGCCCCAGCCUUCGCCUUCACCACCUCAGUGCCUGCGUCUUGGAUACGCCUCGUGAGGUUAGCGAGAGUAUCCGCACUAAACUCCAUUUUGGGAGUGCACCGAGAUAUGAUGGGAAUUAUGGUCUUGCCCGCAUGGCCACCAACUACAGGGACGUUGACAUGAGCAGGAUUCAGUCCCGUGAGUUCGGCCACGAAGGUGUUAGCCCUGACGAUGUCUAGCGUCGUCACACCAAAGACCCGCUUAGGGUUGUAAACUCCAUGCUUCCUAAGAAUCUCUGAAGCUAUGGGAACAGUGGAGUUUACUGGGUUGGUGAUUAGACAAAUCAUAGCUUCAGGGCAGUUGCGGGCACAGGCAUCAGCCAGGGUGGCCACGAUGGAGGCGUUGGUACCGAAGAGGUCAUCCCGUGUCAUCCCGGGCUUCCUGGGCACUCCAGCAGGAAUGACGACAACUUCACUCCCCUUCAGAGCUUGCGGGAGUUGUUCAGGGCCGACGUAGCCAGUGAUCUGGGCCCUGGUCUGGAUGUGGCUACUGCUACUUCCACAACAAACAAUUCAGAAAACUCCGGAAAUAAUAAGUAUGCAUGUACUGUAUAUGUUACCCAUCACCACGAAAUGAGUCUUAAGUCGCACUGGUAGAAAUACACCCAUAAGACUCAUUUCGUGGUGAUUAGUCACAUAUAGAGUAGACAGACGUAGCAGUCAUAAGUUAUAUACAUCCUGUUUUAUUUUCUUUUACAAGUACAGACAUCUGAACUUUCAGUGUCCAUUUUCAAAGUAUUAAUGGUUCACCUUAUAUUUCACAUUCAGAAAAGUUCUUACGCAUUACUCUUUGGCAAAUAGUAACACCAGCACAGAGGAUGUUCAUAGCUUUGAACCCGUGACAAAACAGAAGUCUAGCGAUGAGUGUUUAACAUCUCCAACCUGAAGAAAAACGUUUUUUUUGGUACAUUUUAAAUGUUAGCAGUAUCUUUUAAAAGAGUUUAAAAACAUCCAAAGCCAGGGGAAUUCUUCAUCCAAAAGAGGCAGCAUUAAAGUGUUGGCGCACUCGCAAAGUCCUCCCCCUUCUUAAUGGAGGCCUUCAGCUCAUCCAGUGCUUCGGCCACCAGCUUGGUCUCCAAGGCGGAGAGCUUGCCAAGGCCCAGGUUUCUUUCCACUCCGUGUCUGCCGAGGAGGAGAGGGGUGGAAAAGUAUGUGCAUUCGCCUUCCUCUGACCUGACGAAUGCACAUUCGAUGACCCCUUCUUUGCCAUUCAUGGCAUCCAGCAGGGACACGGCGAACCUAGCCCCUGCAUAUGCCAUGGAGAGGGUGGCAGAGCCUGCCCCAGCCUUCGCCUUCACCACCUCAGUGCCUGCGUCUUGGAUACGCCUCGUGAGGUUAGCGAGAGUAUCCGCACUAAACUCCAUUUUGGGAGUGCACCGAGAUAUGAUGGGAAUUAUGGUCUUGCCUGCAUGGCCACCAACUACAGGGACGUUGACAUGAGCAGGAUUCAGUCCCGUGAGUUCGGCCACGAAGGUGUUAGCCCUGACGAUGUCUAGCGUCGUCACACCAAAGACCCGCUUAGGGUUGUAAACUCCAUGCUUCCUAAGAAUCUCUGAAGCUAUGGGAACAGUGGAGUUUACUGGGUUGGUAAUUAUACAUAUCAUCGCUUCAGGGCAGUUGCGGGCACAGGCAUCAGCCAGGGUGGCCACGAUGGAGGCGUUGGUAUCAAAGAGGUCAUACCGUGCCAGUGACCUGAUUCCUGGUCUCGAUGUGGCUGAGGUUUGCAGCUACUCCGAGGGUGUGGACAACAUCGUUUAGUGAGAGCUGGCUGACCAGUGGACUCUUCUUCAGGAGCAGUGACAGGGGCUGGCUGAUGCCCCCAAACGCACCCAACACUGCCACCUUUGUUUUGCUCCCGGCAUUGUAUUGCAAUGCUCGCAGCUGAUCUGGCGAUGCAAGAGAACAUUCUGAUGCGAGAGAGUACUGCUUUGCUGGUAAUCUGAAAACAAAAUGAGAAUUCUGUAGACUCUCCCUUAGCAACAGUGAGAUUUAUUCCCUGGGUUUUAGAGCUUAUACACGUAAGCAACUACGUAAAUACGCAAACUAGGGAUGCAACAUCUCCUUCGAAAUGGACUGGGACUGGGACUGGAACUGAAUGGAAGAACAUCAUUUUGUGGAUGAAAUGUGUUUCGGGAGUGAAAGAAAUGCAUUUUGUGUAUGUUGCAGGUGCAUGCCUGUGUAGUACCUUCUAAUUCCUACACAGUAGGUAUACUAACUGAGUAACAAACUGUUAAAAACACAGCUAAAUUGUUUACAUUUGCAGAGUAAUGGUCUUUAGGUCUCCGCUAUCCAGAUAACAUUUGUUCUUUCGUCAUACACAUCUUCAGUGCUAUCGUCACUAUUUUAAAUUGAGAUGGGCAUGGUGAUUAAUCUUCAGAAGUUCAAGAAAAUAAAAUUGUCAGUAGUUCUAGGUAAGUCAUAACUGUUUAUUGUAUUCUGAAUCAGUUCUGCUUCAUGUAGACAAUUGCCAAAUAUAGUAUAUGAUUGAGUUGAUCUGUUUUUGCUAAUAUACAUCCACUUUUUCAAUGGGGAAGUAACUUUAACACUGUUUUGAUCCAACUUGCAUUCAGGCUGUGGCGUUGAGAUGGCCUUGGUUAGCAUAUAGCAAUGCUCAUUAUACUAUAUUCUUAAAGCACAUUAUUGCAUCUGUGCUGGCCUUUGAUCUGAUCUAGUUUAUACUAUUUGACAUCCUGUUUGGUUGUGUGAUGAUUCCAUAGUCAAAUUGUUUUGCUAAUAAAGGUACUCAAAUGGUGAA